This 790-nucleotide ribosomal RNA is filed under the name uncultured bacterium. Its description in RNAcentral is "bacterial SSU rRNA". It matches the Rfam family "Bacterial small subunit ribosomal RNA", at positions 68 to 873 of the family's 1533-position model. The record is from RNAcentral.
GAUAUAUGGAGCUUGCUUUAUAUAACUUAGCAGCGAACGGGUGAGUAACACGUAGAUAAUCUAUCCUAUACUGGGGGAUAGCCCGAUGAAAGUUGGAUUAAUACCGCAUAUAGCUAUAUAGUUGCAUGACUAUGUAGUGAAAGAUUUAUUGGUAUAGGAGGAGUCUGCGGCACAUUAGCUAGUAGGUGAGGUAAAGGCUUACCUAGGCGACGAUGUGUAGCCGGUCUGAGAGGAUGAACGGCCACAAUGGAACUGAGACACGGCCCAUACUCCUACGGGAGGCAGCAGUGGGGAAUAUUGCACAAUGGGGGAAACCCUGAUGCAGCAACGCCGCGUGAGUGAAGAAGGUUUUCGGAUUGUAAAGCUCUGUUAGCAGGGAAGAGGAAGGACGGUACCUGCAGAGGAAGCCACGGCUAACUACGUGCCAGCAGCCGCGGUAAUACGUAGGUGGCAAGCGUUGUUCGGAAUAACUGGGCGUAAAGGAUGCGUAGGCGGUUAAACAAGUUAUAUGUUAAAUAUAUAGGCUUAACCUGUAGAAAGCAUAUAAAACUGUUUAACUAGAGUGCAGGAGAGGUAAGUGGAAUUCCUAGUGUAGCGGUGAAAUGCGUAGAGAUUAGGAAGAACACCAGUGGCGAAGGCGACUUACUGGACUGUAACUGACGCUGAGGCAUGAGAGCAUGGGGAGCAAACAGGAUUAGAUACCCUGGUAGUCCAUGCUGUAAACGAUGGGUACUAGGUGUGGGUUGUGAAUAACAAUUCGUGCCGUCGCAAACGCAAUAAGUACCCCGCC